This 497-nucleotide ribosomal RNA is filed under the name uncultured bacterium. Its description in RNAcentral is "partial 16S ribosomal RNA". It matches the Rfam family "Bacterial small subunit ribosomal RNA", at positions 28 to 507 of the family's 1533-position model. The record is from RNAcentral.
GAUGAACGCUGGCGGCGUGCUUAACACAUGCAAGUCGAACGGAAAGACGCGGCGCUUUCCUCUCUGGCGGUACCGGCGGGCGGGUGAGUAACGCGUGGACCACCUCCUUAUAAGAAGCGGAUCACUUCGGGAAACCGUAGCUAAUACCGGAUAAGAUUUAGAGCGGGAGGGUUCAAUAGUUAACGACGUUUUUGCUGCCACUUAUAGAUGGAUCCGGGGCUCAUUAGCUAGUUGGUCAGGUAAAGGCUUACCAAGGCAACGAUGGGUAGCCGACCUGAGAGGGUGAUCGGCCACACUGGGACUGAGACACGGUCCAGACUCCUACGGGAGGCAGCAGUAGGGAAUGUUCGGCAAUGGGCGAAAGCCUGACGCAGCAACGCCGCGUGAGUGAUGAAGGCCUUCGGAUCGUAAAGCUCUGUUAUUAGGAAAGAACCGGUUUGUAUGUAGACACGCAGGUAUUGACGGUACCGAAAGAAGAAGCACCGGCUAACUACGUG